GUGCCAGCAGCCGCGGUAAAACGUAGGAGCCAAGCGUUAUCCGAAUUUACUGGGCGUAAAGCGCGUGCAGGCGGCUCGAUAAGUUGGCUGUGAAAUCUCCUGGCUCAACUGGGAGAGGCCGGUCAAGACUGUCGGGCUGGAGGGCAGUAGAGGGAGGUGGAAUUCCCGGUGUAGUGGUGAAAUGCGUAGAGAUCGGGAGGAACACCAGUGGCGAAAGCGGCCUCCUAGGCUGUACCUGACGCUCAGACGCGAAAGCUAGGGGAGCAAACGGGAUUAGAAACCCGCGUAGUCC
This 292-nucleotide ribosomal RNA is filed under the name uncultured bacterium. RNAcentral describes it as "partial 16S ribosomal RNA". It matches the Rfam family "Bacterial small subunit ribosomal RNA", at positions 505 to 796 of the family's 1533-position model. The record is from RNAcentral.